Molecule: ribosomal RNA, 460 nt
Filed under: uncultured bacterium
Lineage: Bacteria
Description: partial 16S ribosomal RNA
Rfam family: Bacterial small subunit ribosomal RNA
Source: RNAcentral
CCUACGGGUGACAGCAGUGAGGAAUAUUGGUCAAUGUGCGGGAGCCUGAACCAGCCAAGUCGCGUGAGGGAAGACGGUCCUAUGGAUUGUAAACCUCUUUAGGCGGGGAGCAAUGCCGGGCACGCGUGCCCGGAGGGAGAGUACCCGCAGUAUAAGCAUCGGCUAACUCCGUGCCCGCAGCCGCGGUAAUACGGAGGAUGCGAGUGUUCUCCGGAUUUAUUGGGUUUAGAGGGUGCGUAGGCGGAUUUUUAAGUCCGCGGUAAAAUGUCCGGGCUCAACCCGGGCGGGCCGUUGAAACUGGGGAGCUUGAGUGGGCGAGAAGUAUGCGGAAUGCGUGGUGUAGCGGUGAAAUGCAUAGAUAUCACGCAGAACUCCGAUUGCGAAGGCAGCAUACCGGCGCCCGACUGACGCUGAGGCACGAAAGCGUGGGGAUCGAACAGGAUUAGAUACCCCAGUAGUC